CGAGAACGAGGCUCCGCGGGGUCAGAGGGCAUCACCUAUUGUUCUGCACUUCAAAACAUAUAAACAUUAAUUAAUCAAGGCUGGCCAUGUUUCUCAGGGAAAAAGAAAAAGUAGGGUAUGUUGUACCUACGAGUGCUAUAGGCCAGAAGGACUUCUGAUGUUGUAAAUGAAUGUGUUAGAAAUCAACGGCGUCAGUGAUUACGUUCUAUCUUUUCCUGGAUGAAAGGACAUCAAACAUUCGCUCUGAACCAAGGUUAAGCAGCAGAAAAGUCCUGCUGAUUAGCAGUGCAGGUUCACUGGUGUAAAUGAGGAAUCUCUGAUCCUGCUUGAGUCUAUAAUCUGCUUGCAUGUUUACUGGCUAAAAGCAGGCGUGAUGCUGCCGUGACCCAGGCUGAUCCAGAUCCUCGGAGCAUCUUUUCCUAUCUUUCCUUCCCUUUUUCUGUGCGGCAACACAGCCUGUUAUUUCAAGGAAAGUGCAACCUUUGCCUUGGGCUUUAAUUAUGUUCAAUUUGCCAAGCCGAGCCUGAAAAAUUGAGAGGGUGAAAAAGCUCUAUGACCUAUUUAUUAAUGCUGCGUUGAGUCUGAAGCUGCACUGAGAUCAGCACUGCAUCACUCAACAAUAACAGGCGUCUCUGGAGAACACGCUCUUCUCCACUGCAGGAAUUCACUGCUCUAUUAUACACCGCCGGACACUUCAUUGACUUGAGCAGCACUGAAGUAAAUGACAUUAGUUUUGUAGCUGAGUGUGAGCGGGAUCUGCUGUGUGUUUUUGGAAAUGGAUGUUAAAAGGACAGAAGUAUGUCUAAUCAAAUAAAACCUAAUUAUGUAUAUUAUAUAGACGGGAUGUAGCCUAUUUAUAAUUAGAUAUGUGUGUAUUAAAUAGAGUUUAUAUUAUUUUUAGAUAGUCAUAUCACCGUAUUUAAGUUUUUUUUUUAUCUUAUGAUGUGAAUUAGUUUAUUGUGUUUUGUUUUUGUUUCUUGUACAAUUUCAGUGAGUCUACAAUAAAAAUCUCCCCUCCUCUGCU
Molecule: long non-coding RNA, 1024 nt
Filed under: Danio rerio (zebrafish)
Lineage: Eukaryota; Metazoa; Chordata; Actinopteri; Cypriniformes; Danionidae
Description: lncRNA linc.4149 (ENSDARG00000097984.3)
Source: RNAcentral